CGCACGGGUGAGUAACACGUAGGUAAUGUACCUUUGGGUGGGGAAUAACUUAGGGAAACUUAAGCUAAUACCGCAUAAUGCAGCGGCACCUAAUGGUGACAGUUGUUAAAGGAGCAAUUCGCUUGAAGAGGAGCUUGCGGCAGAUUAGCUAGUUGGUAAGGUAACGGCUUACCAAGGCUACGAUCUGUAACCGGUCUAAGAGGACGGUCGGUCACACUGACACUGAAUAACGGGUCAG
This 238-nucleotide ribosomal RNA is filed under the name uncultured bacterium. Its description in RNAcentral is "partial 16S ribosomal RNA". It matches the Rfam family "Bacterial small subunit ribosomal RNA", at positions 99 to 334 of the family's 1533-position model. The record is from RNAcentral.